This 447-nucleotide ribosomal RNA is filed under the name uncultured bacterium. RNAcentral describes it as "partial 16S ribosomal RNA". It matches the Rfam family "Bacterial small subunit ribosomal RNA", at positions 29 to 523 of the family's 1533-position model. The record is from RNAcentral.
AGCGAACGCUGGCGGCAGGCUUAACACAUGCAAGUCGAACGCCCCGCAUGGGGAGUGGCAGACGGGUGAGUAGCACGUGGGAACGUACCCUUUGGUUCGGAAUAACUUGGGGAAACUCAAGCUAAUACCGGAUAAGCCCUUAUGGGGAAAGGUUUACUGCCGAAGGAUCGGCCCGCGUCGGAUUAGCUAGUUGGUGAGGUAAUGGCUCACCAAGGCGACGAUCAGUAGCUGGUCUGAGAGGAUGAUCAGCCACACUGGGACUGAGACACGGCCCAGACUCCUACGGGAGGCAGCAGUGGGGAAUAUUGGACAAUGGGGGCAACCCUGAUCCAGCCAUGCCGCGUGAGUGAUGAAGGCCUUAGGGUUGUAAAGCUCUUUUACCCGGGACGAUAAUGACUGUACCGGGGGAAUAAGCCCCGGCUAACUUCGUGCCAGCAGCCGCAGUAA